This 508-nucleotide ribosomal RNA is filed under the name uncultured bacterium. RNAcentral's name for it is "partial 16S ribosomal RNA". It matches the Rfam family "Bacterial small subunit ribosomal RNA", at positions 30 to 523 of the family's 1533-position model. The record is from RNAcentral.
AUUGAACGCUGGCGGCAUGCCUUACACAUGCAAGUCGAACGGCAGCGGGGGAGAAGCUUGCUUUUCCUGCCGGCGAGUGGCGAACGGGUGAGUAAUACAUCGGAACGUGCCCUGUAGUGGGGGAUAACUAGUCGAAAGAUUAGCUAAUACCGCAUACGACCUGAGGGUGAAAGUGGGGGACCGCAAGGCCUCAUGCUGGAGGAGCGGCCGAUGUCUGAUUAGCUAGUUGGUGGGGUAAAGGCCUACCAAGGCGACGAUCAGUAGCUGGUCUGAGAGGACGGUCAGCCACACUGGGACUGGGACACGGCCCAGACUCUUACGGGAGGCAGCAGUGGGGAAUUUUGGACAAUGGGCGAAAGACUGAUCCAGCAAUGCCGCGUGUGUGAAGAAGGCCUUCGGGUUGUAAAGCACUUUUGUCCGGAAAGAAAUGCCUCUGGUUAAUACCUGGGGUCGAUGACGGUACCGGAAGAAUAAGGACCGGCUAACUACGUGCCAGCAGCCGCCGUAA